This is a long non-coding RNA of Acinonyx jubatus (cheetah), 4122 nucleotides long. RefSeq lists it as uncharacterized. The transcript is spliced from 3 exons. The record is from RefSeq and is a predicted model, not a curated record. Lineage: Eukaryota; Metazoa; Chordata; Mammalia; Carnivora; Felidae.
UGUGACAGGUCAGUGUGAUUGGACCAUUUGAUUACCAAGUCCAGACUCUAGAGUGACUCAGUGGCCAAUGCUGCUUUUUUAAACUGUUAACUGAAACAUUGGUACGACAGAAGAUCUAUGAAUAAAAGACCUAAAAUCCUUUUAAACGUACUAUUUAUUGGGACAUCCUGAAGGACUGGGGGAAUCCUUGUUCCUGUAUCAUCUCCCAUCUUGCACUUGUUGAUAAUUGUUCGACAUUCAUUCGGCAUUUACUGGAAGCUUCCAGAUGGCGGACAGCGUGCAAGGUGUCUGAGAUGGCAGAAGGAAAAUACAGAGGAACAGGCUGUAUCUCCUCACUUGGUAAUAACAACAGCUAACAGUGAAUGCUCAUUUAGUGUUUACCACGUGUCAGACUUGUUCGGAGAGAUAUAUUUCUUUUCCCUUAAUCCUUAUAACAGCCGUAUGAAUCAGUACUAUUAUUGUCCCCACUAUACGGUGGAUGACACUGGCAAACAGAGAGAUUGAGUAACUUGCCAGGUAAUAGCCUUGCAAGGAAUUUAUGGUCUGAGUAUACAUUGUUGAGUACCUCCCUUUUUAGGGUAAGGCAGCGAUGAAUGGGGUAUAGGGAAGCAAAAGGUGACUCAGGUUGAGUGUUUGCUGUAAACUGACACCCAGAGUAUCUGACUCAAGAAAUUCUUCAGUCUGUGAUCCGAAGAGAAUUAUGGAAUGAUAGGAAAUAAUUAAGCACAGCAAAAUGCUGGAAAUAUUUACCAGCAGUGGCAAUCCAGUUUAAUUUUAUGUCCAGGACCACAGCCCUACAUCUUCCUUUCAAUAUACAUUAUCAGGGUUAAUGUAUAUAGUCAAUCCAAUAACACUGUUUUCUCCCCUCUCUCUGCUUUGGUAGGGGUACCUGUAUGAAGGCUGCUUCACUCUGGAGGUUUGGACCUGUGUGGGCAUGUCUGGUAAAAUGAUAGGAGGAUCUGCUGGGAGAGGACUUGCAGAAUACUGGGGACCUUAGCAAGAAAAUUCCUGAAAGUGGAAGACUGUAGAAAUGGUAAUAAGGCCUCAGCUGUUAUAAGAGAGGGGUGACUUCAGUACUUGUGGUAAAGAGGCAGGAUAGGUAGGGUCAAGGGGUAAGAAAUACAGGAGAUAUAUUUGUGUAGAUCACUUAACAGUAGUAUGUAAUCAGUAAAUACUCAUUAUUAUUUGUAUUAUAGUACUCACCCCAGGCUGUCCCUAUAAAAACUCAUAUGCAGAGACCUAAGAGACAAAGUGUGAAGAUGCCAGAGGUCUUCAUCAGACCAUAUAGAUGUCCUUUAAUGAACUUAUAGAUUGCUAAAUGUUACCAACAAAUGUUAAUAAUGAUAAGUGGUGGUAGAUAAUAUCAUUAUUGCUUUUAUCUCCAUUUUUUGUUGUCAUUAAUUUUAUAUUGUGGUCAGUUGGAAAACAGGAUUUAAUUUUGAAAAUAUUCAAAUAUUUAAGGAGAUUUUUCUUUUUUUUAUCAGUUUUUAUUUUAUUUUAAAUUUUAUUUUUUAUUUUUUAAAAUUUACAUCCAAAUUAGCAUAUCGUGCAGCAAUGAUUUCAGGAGGAGAUUCCUUAGUGCCCCUUCCCCAUUUAGCCCAUGCCCCCUCCCACAACCCCUCCAGUAACCCUCUGUUUGUUCUCCAUGUUUAUGAGUCUCUUCUGUUUUGUCCCCCUCCCUGCUUUUAUAUUAUUUUUGUUUCCCUUCCCUUAUGUUCAUCUGUCUUGUCUCUUAAAGUCCUUAUAGCAGUGAAGUCAUAUGAUUUUUGUCUUUCUCUGACUAAUUUCGCUUAGCAUAUUACCCUCCAGUUCCAUCCACGUAGUUGCAUUAAGUAGAUUUUUCUAAGCAGAAAGAGGAACGACAUUCACGCAAAUAGGCAAGGAACUUAAUUGUCAUUGGUGGGCAUUAUGGAUUUUGCAUUCUUACAGAAGCAAACUCAUGAACUGUGAUUUUAUUAUCACAGAAAUUAAUUUCUUGCUAAGAGUCACUUUCUGCUUUUCUCAGCAUUUGAUAUAUGCAAGAUCAUUAUUUCCUGUAUCCACCCUAAAUAGCUUACUUCUUUCCAGGCAAGUAGAGAUUUCAGAAAAGACGAUGGGGAAAUUCUUUUCCUUCUGAUUGGUUCUUUGGCCCUUUUCAUACCCCUCCCCCACUCCCUGCAGGGGGUGGUCAUUAAAAUGCCUCAGACAACUGUGGAGCCUUCAGGAUGGUAGCUGCGAUAUGAUCAUGUUACACACCCAUUCAAAGUUCUCUGCUCCAGGGUCAAGGUUUGGAUGAUGUCACACAGCCUGUGGAUCUCCUGCCUCCUGGACUGGUUUCUCUGUUGUGAGAAGGAUAGGAAAUGAGAGAAAGAUGAACCCACUGGCGUCCUUAGUCUACAUCAACUGAGGUGGGACAAAAACAGCACUGUACUUGGUCUGUGCUCUGUGCCCUGAAGCAGAAAUGCCUUUAAUUGUUCAUUGCAAAAUAGAUGUCUAGUGGAGAAGGUUAUUAAACAUAUUUUGUGCAUUUUGGGAGAACUGGAGGUCAGGAUGGCUUGACCUAGCAUCUCACAGCAAACCCAAGUCAAGUAAGCCACCAAGGUAACAUAGCCUAUUCUUAGGGCAAAAUUUUCUGGUUGGCUAAUUUCUGGAUAUUAUUAAAAGGGACAGUACAUUUUGAAAAUAGAAUGAUGGCCAUCCUCAGGCAGGAGAAUUCUACUUUAAAAACAGAAGAUUUAAUGUGCCAGAUUCAAAUCAUAAGGAAAGGCUGCCCAGUUAAUAGGACAAAUGCCUCCACAUUGUAAAAUAAACAGGAUUUGAAAUGCAGACAGUCUUAUUUUGCAGUUACAAGUUAUUUAAAAAUCUUUAUAAAGACCUAAUAAUAAAAGAAUAAAAUGUUUAACAGCAAGUCCACAAGAACGCAUUAGUCAUAAGGUACAUCUUAAUUAAGGCCUCUCUUCUACUUACUUCAACAGGUGGCCUAGGAAGGGGGUGGUCCCAUGAGCUCUAGCAGCCAGGGGCCCGGGACCUCACUCUGGGAGACAGCCAGGGCAAAGGAACCAGCUGACCUUUCUCUGGCGCAAAGUGGCCUGGUGAGAUCCAGAAUUAAACUUUCUCUCUACAAUGACCUGUUCAGACGGCAAAUAGAUCCAUCAUCUGGUUCUCGGCCCUGCGGAAGACACCCGCCCCCCACCCCCUCACCCCCCCCACCCCGCCCACGACUGCGUGGUGCGCCAUUUACACCGACUCCGGCCCUUCAGCAGGUGGCGCUGUUUGCUCUAUUCCCGCCGCUUGGCGUUCCCUUCCUUUCUAGAGCACGGUCCCCUUCCUUUUUUUCAGUCCAUAUGUAACGGCUGCCUCUUUUACAUCGUCUCUUGGGAGGUACUCUCCCAGUGAUCUUAGCACUGAGGAGGAGAAGCAAAUUAGCAACAUGGAACAACUCACGUUUUCAUGUUUGAUCUUUAAAGCCCUCAUCCCCUGAUCUAAUGAAUUGCCCCACUUAAGGGCACGCGAGUGAGCCUCAGAAAUCGUAUUGUUCACUCAUCCCUGUCUUCCCCUAUCCUCCACCCUACUUAUCGUCCCUCCUUAGGCAGCCUUCCCUUCUCUUCAUUCACCCCUGCCUAAGGCUUCAAAAUACUAUUAAAAGUAUCUCUAAACCAAAUUUCUCUCUGAUCAACUUCUUCAGGUGUUUAUAAAAGUGAAGUUUUCUUCCCAUCCUUAAUCACGGAUGGAGCAGUACGAAUUUUCCCAGGCUGCCAUCCCGCGUCCCUCAUCGAGUAGCUAUGUAAUCUGGGCCUAAAAACCCCUUGUAAAAUGGGAUUGGUGGACCAAGAGACUUUGAGGCGUCUUCUAGCUCUCAUACUCUGGGAUUACAAAGCGGUUUGCCACUGCCUUAAAUAAUAGUUGUACUGUGAUACCAGAUGAUUGUUUCUGAUAUUUUCUUUGAGCAGGAAAAGUUGUUAAGUAGCACAAAGAGUCAGUGGAGGCAGUUGAUCUAGGGAGAGAGGGUAUUUGGGGUAAGAUGUAACACGUCUUCCACACUAGCCAUCACUCAUGACAGAUAUUCUCAUGUAUUUCUGGGGUGCAGCAGAUACCAAAUAGGCAUUUAGGCAUAAAUUCUAGAACUUUCUUAGUGUGCUUAUU